ACUUUUAGCUGAACGGUCGUACAGUCAAGAACUGAGUCACGCAGCUCCGCGAAACUCCAGCGUUUUUCUCCGUUGCUCCGUCGUUGAUGGUCGUCAGGAAGGGCUUACGAGGCACGGACACAUUUCAGACACAGGUCCAGCACGGCGUCAGACGCUACUGCACAGCACCCUGGAACGAGUCAUGGUGACCUUGACAGCGCCACGGGCAGGGGACGCGUUGGCGGGGACGGCGAACCGUCUCACGGCCACCUGCCACGAGAUCCCAGCUGUCGACUGCACUGCUACAAGGGCGGCGUAAUCCACACCACGCCCAGCUGGCGGCGAACGGCUCCUCGACGAGACAGUACCUGCUGAUGGCGGCGGCGGUGUUCCUGGUCCGACAUCGGGACGUUUCACGACUAGCGUGGGACGUCGGAGUUGGGUCCUUACACAGUCGUUGCGUAUGCGGUUAGUUCACACACACUUUCAAGGCGCACUCACACGGGCGUCCUUAACUAUAGCUCGGGCUUAACUCUUAAAUUUCACCUCUUCAAAACAACAAUGUCCUAUCUGUGCUUUCCAGUUGUAGCCUCGGGUCACCUCGAACAUAACCAUUCAGCCACAAAUAACCAUUUAAAAUGUUAGAUAACAUUUCUUUUGUUUACCUAUUUGCUCUUAAACAUAGCAAUUAUUUUCAGUUAAUUUUCUUGUAUUAUUAUUGAUUUGAUUACAACUAAUUUCAGUAAUAGUGCUUGAUUACAUUUCCUAUUGCAAUACUAAUUAAUAACAAUUGACAUUGUUUCAUAUCAUGUAUAACAAGUUGCUUUGAGAUUAAUUCUCAAACUAUUUAGUUACUAAUGGUAAUUUACUAAAGCAAAGGCUUAUUUACAUUUUGCUCUUGGGCUUAGAAAUUAUAUACAAGAGUAUUCUAACACAUCAUAUAACAUUAUCAUUCAUAAAUUUCAUGUCACUAUGACCACAUGAAUAGUUACAAUGUCAUUAAAUGACUUAUUAUUACAAUAAUAAUAGCUCAUUUCAUAAAAUUUAUUUCAUGUUAUUUUAUCUUAUAACAUAAUUACUUAAAUUCAAAUUCUGCAGACUUGCAGACAAUAAUAGUGUAUUAAUAUGUUUUUGUACCAUCAGUACAUACUGUGCUUUCACAUAACACAUAUCUUGCAAGUUUCAAUAAGUUUUUUUUUUGUUUCCAUUUCACUGUUGAUGUGAAAUUAUAAUUUUAGGAUAUUAGUCUGACUGAUUUCAUCACACUUUGUUGACACUUGUUACACACUUUGGCCACAGGCAACAACUGGGUAGCACAGAAAAUCAUUUCCUCUUGCUCGCGACACCAGUGUUCCAUGUUCUGUAUCACAGCCAGAAGAAUAGACCCCAACAAGUAGGUCGUUUGAAACUUCAAGAAAUGAUAAAUUUCGUGUGACAACAACAAAAUUAGUGUGUGAAGUAUAUACAACCAUGUUGUAUUUCUUUUCAGUGGCAAAUUUAAAAUAAAUUAAGCUACAGCUUAAUGUUCAAAUUUAAA
Molecule: long non-coding RNA, 1516 nt
Organism: Bacillus rossius redtenbacheri
Lineage: Eukaryota; Metazoa; Arthropoda; Insecta; Phasmatodea; Bacillidae
Exons: 2
Source: RefSeq, a predicted model, not a curated record